UUCCACCACCGCCAACACAACCACCUCCAAACCUUGAAGGUUUUAUGAGAUUUGUUAGAAAUAAUACAUAAAUUAUGAUGUAACUUGUACAUUGGCUUGUCUUCUUUUAGUUUUUUAUCCUUUUAAUGGUGGUAUUAGUACCAUGUUGUGCUCAUUCCAGUGGGGGAAGGAAGACUAAGAAAGAUAUGCUAUUUUUGUCAAUAAAUAUGCUCUUUAUCAU
This 220-nucleotide long non-coding RNA is filed under the name Nicotiana benthamiana. Its description in RNAcentral is "long non-coding RNA (NBEN_LNC038691)". Lineage: Eukaryota; Viridiplantae; Streptophyta; Magnoliopsida; Solanales; Solanaceae. The record is from RNAcentral.